This is a long non-coding RNA of Myripristis murdjan (pinecone soldierfish), 218 nucleotides long. RefSeq lists it as uncharacterized. NCBI's taxonomy places the organism in Eukaryota, Metazoa, Chordata, Actinopteri, Holocentriformes, Holocentridae. The record is from RefSeq and is a predicted model, not a curated record. The transcript has 3 exons.
UUCUUCUGCACUUGGACGCCGUACUUCAUCUGUGCCACAUAAAAACAGAGCCAACAGAGCAGUGACCAACUAGGCAAACGGGUGAGAAGCUGCAUAAUUGAGCAACAAAAAUGGAGUUUAAAAGAAGAGAGCAGCAUGCAGGUGACCACAGACGUGCUGCUGCAGUGUGUCUGGGGCUGCUGUUUCUUCUCCUCCUGGUGACUCCUGGUGGUGAGCUG